UGCUAUAUGCUCUCGGGAUUCC
This 22-nucleotide microRNA is filed under the name Saccoglossus kowalevskii. RNAcentral describes it as "Sko-Mir-4830-P3_3p* (star (passenger))". The record is from RNAcentral. Lineage: Eukaryota; Metazoa; Hemichordata; Enteropneusta; Harrimaniidae.